Molecule: non-coding RNA, 28 nt
Filed under: Bombyx mori (domestic silkworm)
Lineage: Eukaryota; Metazoa; Arthropoda; Insecta; Lepidoptera; Bombycidae
Source: RNAcentral
UACUAGUGCAUCAUACAUGACCGGGAAC